Molecule: microRNA precursor, 81 nt
Filed under: Corythaeola cristata (great blue turaco)
Lineage: Eukaryota; Metazoa; Chordata; Aves; Musophagiformes; Musophagidae
Also listed under: 2 other names
Description: mir-128 microRNA precursor family
Rfam family: mir-128 microRNA precursor family
Source: Rfam by way of RNAcentral
GAGCUGUUGGAUUCGGGGCCGUAACACUGUCUGAGAGGUUUAUAUUUCUCACAGUGAACCGGUCUCUUUUUCAGCUGCUUC